This 460-nucleotide ribosomal RNA is filed under the name uncultured bacterium. RNAcentral describes it as "partial 16S ribosomal RNA". It matches the Rfam family "Bacterial small subunit ribosomal RNA", at positions 338 to 795 of the family's 1533-position model. The record is from RNAcentral.
CCUACGGGAGGCAGCAGUGAGGAAUAUUGGUCAAUGGACGAGAGUCUGAACCAGCCAAGUAGCGUGAAGGAUGACUGCCCUAUGGGUUGUAAACUUCUUUUAUAUGGGAAUAAAAUGUUCCACGUGUGGGAUUUUGUAUGUACCAUAUGAAUAAGGAUCGGCUAACUCCGUGCCAGCAGCCGCGGUAAUACGGAGGAUACGAGCGUUAUCCGGAUUUAUUGGGUGUACAGGGAGCGUAGGUGGAUGGUUAAGUCAGUUGUGAAAGUUUGCGGCUCAACCGUAAAAGUGCAGUUGAAACUGGCAGUGUGGAGUACAGGAGAGGUAGGCGGAAUGCGUGGUGUAGCGGUGAAAUGCUUAGAUAUCACGAAGAACACCGAUGGCGAAGGCAGUUCACUGGACUGCAACUGACACUGAGGCUCGAAAGUGUGGGGAUCAAACAGGAUUAGAUACCCUGGUAGUC